RNAcentral lists this ribosomal RNA (393 nucleotides) under uncultured bacterium. Its description in RNAcentral is "partial 16S ribosomal RNA". It matches the Rfam family "Bacterial small subunit ribosomal RNA", at positions 523 to 918 of the family's 1533-position model. The record is from RNAcentral.
AUACGGAGGAUCCAAGCGUUAUCCGGAUUUAUUGGGUUUAAAGGGUGCGUAGGCGGACUGGUAAGUCAGCUGUGAAAGUUUGCGGCUUAACCGGAAAAUUGCAGUUGAUACUGUCAGUCUUGAGUGUGCAUGAGGUGGGCGGAAUUUGUGGUGUAGCGGUGAAAUGCUUAGAUAUCACGAGGAACUCCAAUUGCGAAGGCAGCUCACUGGGGCAUAACUGACGCUGAUGCACGAAGGUGUGGGUAUCAAACAGGAUUAGAUACCCUGGUAGUCCACACAGUAAACUAUGAAUACUCGCUGUUUGCGAUAUACAGUAAGCGGCCAAGCGAAAGCAUUAAGUAUUCCACCUGGGGAGUACGCCGGCAACGGUGAAACUCAAAUGAAUUGACGGGG